UGUGUGUCCACGUGGAGAAGCGGGGAGUGAGCCGGCACCUGAGCUGGGGUUGGUGUGUGUGUGUGUGUGUGUGUGUGUGUAACUAUGUGCCAGGGGAGACAAAGACUGGCUGAAACUGCAAACCCGCACACAAGCCCAGUGGGCUGAGGGCCGAGGGGUCACUGCCGCUUGCCGACUGGCCUGCUGUGUGCCAAGCAGGGGCACUGAGUAAGAAUGACCAGGUACCCAGCCUUCUGGAUAAAAAGGCAAUCAAAUAUAUAGGUGUAAAAAUCUCAGAAGUGAUGGGCUCUGGAGGGAAAAAAAGGGACGCAGCUGGAGGCCAAGUCCCACAUGGGGACCCGGAAGCCCUCUCCCAGGCCGCUGGGGCUGCGGGAAGGGCAUCCCAGAGCAAGCAGCACCCGGCAAGGGGCAGAGGAGCGGAGGCAUGGCGCGCAUCGAGAACGAGGAGGCGGGAAGGCAGGCGCGCUCUGCUCAUGGCUGGGGGUGUGGGGGGGUCUUGGAUGGAGCUGGCCUCUUCUCCCACUGGCCCUCCUGGAGCGGAGGCCCCUGGAAGCCUUUGAGAGUCAGCACGGCAGCCUGCCCAUUAGAAGGCACGGGAGGGGCUGGGGUGUGGCCAGUGGCUUAAACCACCUGCGACACCUGCUUCCAAUAUGACCGCAGGUUUGAGUCCUGGCUGCUCCACUUCCCAUCCAGCUCCCUGCUAAUGUGCUUGGGAAAGCAGCGGAGGGUUGCCUAAGUGCUUGGGCCCCUGCACCCAUGUGGGAGACCCAGAUGGAGCUCCUGGCUCUUGGCGUCAGUCUGGCCCAGCCCUGGCUGUUAUGGCUAUUUGGGGAAUGAACAAGAGGAUGGAAGACCUCUUUAUCAUCUCCCUCUCUCUGUCACUAUGCCUUUCAAAUAAAUAAAUAAUUUUCUAAAAAAGAGGCAUAGUAAAUGUUUUCUGGGUAAAUAUUUUUCUUAAAGAUUGAUUUAUUUGGAAAGCAGAGUGACAGAGAGAGCAAGAGAGAGGGAGACAGAGAGAGUGAGUGAGCCUCUAUUCACUGGUUUACUCCCCAGCUGCCCACACCAGCCAGGGUUGGGCUAGGCUGAAGCUAGCAGCCAGGAGCUCCAUCCAGGUCUCCCAUGUGGUGGCAGGGGCCCAAGUGCUUGGGCCAUCAUCUGUAGCUCCCAGGUGCAUUAGCAGGUAGCUGGAUUGGAAGUGGAGGGGCUAGAACUUGAAUCAGCUCAACAAACCCACUGUGUCACAAUGACCCGGCUGCUCACUGGGGACCCAGAGAUCUCAGUACACUUUUCCAUUUUAAGUCUCCCGCUGAUUCACCAAGCACUGCUGAGGAGCCAGCACAGGCCUGGGAGUCGGGAGACAGGAGCCCCUGCUUUCCCAUUCAUCACCCACGCACCGCUUCCUGGGCACCUGCUCUGUGCUGGGCUGAGCACGUGGAGAGGAGAGCACAGCACGAACUGGUAGAGAUGUGGGCCCUGCCCUCAUCCACGGGGAGUGGGGACACGAGAGGAUCCAGUCAAAGGCACACACCCACAAGAGCUGAACAGAGGGGACUGAGACAGGUGUCCCUACACCAGUGUGCAAGAGCACAUUGGUCACUGUAGCCAACAGCUGGAAACAAGCCACAUGUCCCUCUCUGGAUACAGGAGUACGCAACGUGCGGGUUAUCCAUGGAAUAGGACACGCCCACUCCUCACCCCUGAAACGGAGGGAAAGCCCGGAACACGUCGCAGCCUAGCUUUCUGCUAAUGGGUGUCCCGAGAGGCAGUGGGAAUUUGCUGCUUAGGGCGAUCUGUGUUCGGUGACGAAGUUUGUAAGUAAGAAGAGCUGGAACUCAAAGGUCAGUGUGGGUCCAGGGCUGUGGUAGAGGGGGUUAAGCUGCCGCCUGGGACGCCAGCAUCCCGUACCAGAGCCAGCUGGAGUCCCGACUCCUCGCUUCUGAUCCAGCUUCCUGCUAACUGCCUGGGAAGGCAGCAAGUACUGGAGUCCCUGCCACCCAAGUGGAAGACAGAGUUCCUGACUCCUGGCUUUGGCCUGGCCCAGCUCUGGCUAAGAAGGCAUUUGUCCCUCAACCAAUAAACAACCAUCUCACCUCAAGGUCUGUUUGCUCUAAGUUGUUAAUAUGCACUGACUUACAGCCCUGCUUUGCAAAGUCUUUUUUAAAAAUCACAAAUGUGCUUUGAUUGCAUCAAAAUUUUUUUCUGAAAUAAUGGAAAUAGCAUGUUUUCCUGUUAUUGUGAAUUCACUGAUAGUUUUUCUUAUGUGGAAGCAAGUUGAAUUUCUGAAAUGUAAACUUUUUUUUUUUUUUUAAAGACAACCCAGUUUAUUUUAUUUAUUUAUUUGAAAGGCAGAGUGAGAGAGGGAGAGACAAGAGAGAGCAGGACAGGCUGAAGUCAUGAGCCUGGAACUCCAUUUGGGUCUCCCACAUGGGUGCAGAGGCCCAAGCACUUGGGUUAUCAUCUGCUGCCUUGCCAGGUGCAUUAGCAGGGAGCUGGAUCCAAAGUGGAACAGCUGGGAGCCCAGCUAGUACUCUGACAUGGAACACUCGUGUAACAAAUGACAGCUUAACCCACUGUGCCAUAUGUCAGCCCAACACGCUGCUUUGCUGGACGCUGGCUUUGGUUUGCUGAAACUCUUAGAACUGGAUGCAUCCCUAAUCAUGAACAGAUAGGGCAAUCCUUUUAUUUUACUCUCACUCGGCUCUGGUGUCAGGGUUACUAAAGUAUCCAAACCCAGGGGAAGUUCUGCACGGGUCCCUCUGAAACCAAGGGUCUGGUGUUAUUAUUUUUUUUUUCUUUGGCAGGAGGAUUGUUUGCUACUGAUUCAGAUUCUUUAAGCCUCAGAGGACAUUCAAGUUUUCUCUUUCUCCUUAAGCCACUGUGCUGUUAAUUUUUAGUAAUGUGCUCCUUUAAAAUUUUUUAAAAGAUUAUUUAUUUAUUUAUUUGAGAGGCAGAGUUGCAGAAAGAGGGAGGGAGAGACAGAGAGAGAGAGAGAGAGAAAUCUUCCUCCUGCUGGUUCACUCACCAAAUGGCUGCAAAUCCCAGAGCUGGGUUGAUCCGAAGCCAGGAGCCAGGAGCUUCUUCAGGGUCUUCCACGUAGGUACAGGGGCCCAAGAACUUGGGCCAUCUUCUACUGCUUUCCCAGGCCAUAGCAGAGACCUGGAUCGGAAGUGGAGCAGCCAGAACAAUAGGCACCUAUAUAGGAUUCCAACGAUGCAGGCAGAGGAUUAACCUAAGAAAGCCACAGCUCCGACCCCUGUUCCUUUUAAAUUUUAUUGGAACAAAAUCAUCCAUAAUCUUCUUUAAAAACUACAUGAGAUUAAGUUGUGCAUUAUCUCCAUUUUUUAAAAAAAAUUUAUUUGAAAGUCAG
Molecule: non-coding RNA, 3367 nt
Organism: Oryctolagus cuniculus (rabbit)
Lineage: Eukaryota; Metazoa; Chordata; Mammalia; Lagomorpha; Leporidae
Source: RefSeq, a predicted model, not a curated record